UACAGAGGCCUCGAGCGUUAGGCGGAAUCACUGGGCUUAAAGCGUGUGUAGGCGGACUUCUAAGUACCUUGUGAAAUCCCACGGCUUACCCGUGGAACGGCUGGGUAUACUGGGAGUCUUGAGCCACCUAGGGGCGAGUGGAACAAAUGGUGGAGCGGUGAAAUGCGUAGAUAUCAUUUGGAACGCCAAUGGUGAAAGCAACUCGCUGGGGGUGUGCUGACGCUGAGACACGAAAGCCAGGGGAGCGAACGGG
RNAcentral lists this ribosomal RNA (253 nucleotides) under uncultured bacterium. RNAcentral describes it as "partial 16S ribosomal RNA". It matches the Rfam family "Bacterial small subunit ribosomal RNA", at positions 524 to 776 of the family's 1533-position model. The record is from RNAcentral.